Molecule: ribosomal RNA, 440 nt
Filed under: uncultured bacterium
Lineage: Bacteria
Description: partial 16S ribosomal RNA
Rfam family: Bacterial small subunit ribosomal RNA
Source: RNAcentral
CCUACGGGUGGCAGCAGUGGGGAAUAUUGCACAAUGGGCGGAAGCCUGAUCCAGCGACGCCGCGUGAGGGAAGAAGCGCCUCGGGGUGUAAAGCUCUUUUAGCAGGGAAGAAACUGACGGCACCUGAAGAAGAAGCAGCGGCGAACUACGAGCCAGCAGCCGCGGUAAUACGUAGGGGGCAAGCGGUAUCCGGAGUUAUUGGGUGGAAAGGGGGCGGAGACGGCGAUGCAGGACGGGAGUGAAAACCCGGGGCUCAACCCCGGGCCUGCUGUUGGAACAGCGGGGCUUGAGUGCAGGAGGGGCAGGCGGAAUUCCUGGUGUAGCGGUGAAAUGCGUAGAUAUCAGGAGGAACACCGGUGGCGAAGGCGGCCUGCUGGACUGCAACUGACGUUGAGGCGCGAAAGCGUGGGGAGCAAACAGGAUUAGAUACCCGAGUAGUC